Long non-coding RNA from Sardina pilchardus (European sardine), 264 nucleotides. RefSeq lists it as uncharacterized. Lineage: Eukaryota; Metazoa; Chordata; Actinopteri; Clupeiformes; Clupeidae. The record is from RefSeq and is a predicted model, not a curated record. The transcript has 3 exons.
UGUCAGUACUCAAACCACCAGUAGCAGGCUUAGGACUAGAGUUUGCCAGUCAGACCACUACACCUUUGCCAGCACCACCACCCAGCAAGCUUCAUCAACUCCAGCCAUGCCGAGUUUACCAGUCAGACAUACACCUCUGUCAAAUUCGCUCACAAUGCUGCCAGUAACACCCCAGCAAGGUAGAACUGCAUUUUCAUUAAUCUGGCACCAAUAUCAAGGGAGAAACAAGCCAUGAAUGUCUGUCACAACUUCUUUGCAUCUUUA